This is a long non-coding RNA of Manis javanica (Malayan pangolin), 744 nucleotides long. RefSeq lists it as uncharacterized. Lineage: Eukaryota; Metazoa; Chordata; Mammalia; Pholidota; Manidae. The record is from RefSeq and is a predicted model, not a curated record.
ACUACAAGGACUUUGUGAUUCCUUUAUGCUCAGAUGUGUUGUGAUGUGUUGUGUUUUAUCUCAGUCUGUAUGUAUACCCUCAAACUACACUCAGAAGCGAGGUUUGUGGAUGGUGCACCACAGUUUGUGAGCUAACAGAAAGGGGUCGGUUCCCUGAGCCAGAAGACACUGGGGCUUAUGGAUCUUCACACAAAUGACACCCCAGCCCUGCCUGGCUUCACAGACACCCACCUCUCUUCUAAGCACUUGAAGACCUCAGUACUUUCACUGUUUCUAUCACAACCAGAGGCUGCAGUUUUGUUGCUGAAUUUUUGCUGAACGACUGAGCAAAAGGACAACUGAUCUCAAGAGGGUGUCCCUGCACUAGGGAUAUUCAGAGACUAAAACUCUUCCAAAGGAGAAAAGAGCCCAGUGCCUGAAACCCCAAACAACUGUCAUGUGCAGUGCUGGUUGUUGAUAGAGGAAUAUGGUUCAGAAGGUGUCCAUUCUUUACACGGAGGCUCCUCUGUGCGCUUAGCCUGCUGCAGCUGUCUGCACAAUCUCUGGCGUCACCCACCCGCCCCAGGCAGCUGGGUGAGACACGUCUCAGGUUUUCUGCCUACACUGGAUGCUGGGUGGAGGAUCCCAGGAGUAGACGGAGUUUAAACAGGCUAUUGCAAAUUCCCCUGCAAAUCAUGAAAUUCGGUGAAUCUGUGAUUUGCCUGUGUCCUCCCAGAAAAGCCAAGAUAAAUUUGCUCAAAAUCC